CGCGCCCGGUCAACGUCUGCUGCCGGCGGCGCCCACUAACCUGCUAGUGGGGGAGCCCCGCACCGCCGUGGCCAAUGGGCUUCGCCGCUCGCGGGACCGGCAGCCAGUGGGCGGGCGGGAAAGCUGGGCUAAGCCCUGGGGCACCCUGGGAGUCGUAGUUUUUCGCCGUCGAGGAGUUCCUGCCGAGCGGGCUCACCCCGCCCGGUUGCCAUUAGUUACCCGGACGCACCUCCCACCCCACCACCAGAAAAGGAAAGCUGAAGCAGAAAGGCUAAAAGCAACUUGCCCCCGGGGUCCUGAUAAGUUGGCAAAUUGGGAAUUAGACCCAGAUCUGCCUGACACCAGAGUCUGAGCCUUUGAACACUGCCUGUCUUUCCUGUGAAAACCAGACAGCACCCGCUCUCAACGGAGUCUCACUUUGUCACCCAGGCUGGAAAGCAGUGGCGAGAUCUCGGCUCACCACAACCUCCGCCUCCCAGGUUCAAGCGAUUCUCCUGCUUCAGCCUCCCAAGUAGCUGGGAUUACAGAGCAUGAGAUGAUGCCUCAACUGAUCACCAACUCUGCAGAGGCAGUCACUGAUACUAUCAUUUUCAUCUCCUAAUUGGAUUCCUAGGCAAAAGUGGACAUAUUCAACCUACAAUUAAAGAUGCUUAUAUUUUACAACCC
This is a long non-coding RNA of Pan troglodytes (chimpanzee), 666 nucleotides long. RefSeq lists it as uncharacterized. NCBI's taxonomy places the organism in Eukaryota, Metazoa, Chordata, Mammalia, Primates, Hominidae. The transcript is spliced from 4 exons. The record is from RefSeq and is a predicted model, not a curated record.